AUAAAAUACAAACCCCAGUAUUUUUGGCUGCCCGCGAAUCACCCACUUGUAGGUAGUCUCUCUAAGCUGGCAGAUAGAUGUUACAAUGAACCACUUAAGUUCCGUUGUGAAGGUUUUUGUCCAUUUGGGCUGUAUUUCAUGACACUACUGUAGUUCAAACACAC
This 164-nucleotide small nucleolar RNA is filed under the name Saccharomyces arboricola H-6. RNAcentral describes it as "Small nucleolar RNA snR161". It matches the Rfam family "Small nucleolar RNA snR161". The record is from Rfam by way of RNAcentral. Lineage: Eukaryota; Fungi; Ascomycota; Saccharomycetes; Saccharomycetales; Saccharomycetaceae.